AGAGUUUGAUCAUGGCUCAGGAUGAAUGUUGGCGGUGUGCCUAAGGUAUGCAAGUCGAACGGUUCUACUUCGGUAGAAUAGUGGCAAACGGGUGAGUAACGCGUAGGUAAUCUACCUCAAAGACGGGAAUAGCCAGCUGAAAAGCUGGAUAAUACUUGAUAGUCCUAUAUCUCCUUCGGGUGUUUAUAGGUAAAGCUCCGGCGCUUUGAGAUGAGCCUGCGUCCUAUCAGCUAGUUGGUGAGGGUAAAAGCCCACCAAGGCUAAGACGGGUAGCUGGCGUGAGAGCGCGGCCAGCCACAAUGGAACUGAGAACGGUCCAUACUCCUACGGGAGGCAGCAAUUAGGAAUCUUGCGCAAUGGGGGCAACCCUGACGCAGCGACACCGCGUGGAGGAUGAAGGUCUUAGGAUUGUAAACUCCUUUUAUAUGGGAAGAAUAACUGACGGUACCAUAUGAAUAAGCACCGACUAACUACGUGCCAGAAGUAUCGGUGAUACGUAGGGUGCAAACAUUAUCCGGAUUUAUUGGGCGUAAAGAGAUGCGUAGGCGUCCUAGAAAGUCUGUUGUCAAAGCCCGGGGCUCAACCCCGGAUCGGCAUCAGAUACUCCUAGGAUUGAGGCAGAGAGAGGCGAAUGGAAUUCCCGGUGGAGUGGUGAAAUACGUUGAUAUCGGGAGGAACACCAGUGGCGUAGGCGAUUCGCUGGCUCUGUUCUGACGCUAAGGCUCGAAAGCGUGGGUAGCAAAACGGAUUAGAUACCCGUGCAGUCCACGCCGUAAACGAUGGAUGCUAGCCGUUCGACACAACUGUAUUUUUUCUUCGGAAUUAGUAUGGAAGUGUUGUGUGGCGCAGCUAACGCGAUAAGCAUCCCGCCUGGGGAGUACGGCCGCAAGGCUAAAACUUAAACGAAUUGGCGGGCACCCGCACAAGCGGAGGAGCGCGUGGUUUAAUUCGAUGGCAAUCGAAGAACCUUACCAAGGUUUGACAUGCCGGUCGUAUCCUUUCGAAAGAUUGGAGUCAGUUCGGCUGGACCGUGCACAGGUGAUGCAUGGCCGUCGUCAGCUCGUGUCGUGAGAUGUAGGGUUAAGUCCCGAAACGAGCGCAACCCCUAUCCCGUGUUACAAGUGUCUCGGGAGACUGCAGUGGUAAAACAUUGAGGAAGGUGGGGAUGACGUCUGGUCCGUAUGUCCUUUAUAUCUUGGGCGACACACGCGCUACAAUGGUCGGUACAACAGGUUGCCAAGCCGUAAGGCGGAGCUAAUCCUCUAAAACCGACCUCAGUCCGGAUUGAGGUCUGUAACUCGACCUCAUGAAGUUGGAUUCGCUAGUAAUCGCAGAUCAGCCAUGCUGCGGUGAAUACGUUCUCGGGUGUUGCACACACCGCCCGUCAAGGCAUGGAAGCAGGUAAUACCUGAAGGUGCUCUGAUUUUAUCGGGGUGACUAGGGUAAUAUUUGUGACUGGGCUUAAGUCGUAACAAGGUA
RNAcentral lists this ribosomal RNA (1479 nucleotides) under metagenome. RNAcentral's name for it is "bacterial SSU rRNA". It matches the Rfam family "Bacterial small subunit ribosomal RNA". The record is from RNAcentral.